CAGUCGCCGCGGUAAUCCGUAGGUCCCGAGCGUUGUCCGGAUUUAUUGGGCGUAAAGCGAGCGCAGGCGGUUAGAUAAGUCUGAGGUUAAAGGCUGUGGCUUAACCAUAGUACGCUUUGGAAACUGUUUAACUUGAGUGCAAGAGGGGAGAGUGGAAUUCCAUGUGUAGCGGUGAAAUGCGUAGAUAUAUGGAGGAACACCGGUGGCGAAAGCGGCUCUCUGGCUUGUAACUGACGCUGAGGCUCGAAAGCGUGGGGAGCAAACAGGAUUAGAUACCCCAGUAGUCCAUGUCUCUUAUACC
This 301-nucleotide ribosomal RNA is filed under the name uncultured bacterium. Its description in RNAcentral is "partial 16S ribosomal RNA". It matches the Rfam family "Bacterial small subunit ribosomal RNA", at positions 509 to 808 of the family's 1533-position model. The record is from RNAcentral.